RNAcentral lists this ribosomal RNA (447 nucleotides) under uncultured bacterium. Its description in RNAcentral is "bacterial SSU rRNA". It matches the Rfam family "Bacterial small subunit ribosomal RNA", at positions 355 to 825 of the family's 1533-position model. The record is from RNAcentral.
UGGGGAAUAUUGGACAAUGGGCGCAAGCCUGAUCCAGCCAUGCCGCGUGAGUGACGAAGGUCUUCGGAUUGUAAAGCUCUUUUGCCAGGGACGAUAAUGACGGUACCUGGAGAAUAAGCCCCGGCUAACUUCGUGCCAGCAGCCGCGGUAAUACGAAGGGGGCUAGCGUUGUUCGGAAUUACUGGGCGUAAAGCGCACGUAGGCGGAUUUGUUAGUCAGGGGUGAAAUCCCGGGGCUCAACCUCGGAACUGCCUUUGAUACUGCAAGUCUCGAGUCCGAUAGAGGUGAGUGGAAUUCCUAGUGUAGAGGUGAAAUUCGUAGAUAUUAGGAAGAACACCAGUGGCGAAGGCGGCUCACUGGAUCGGUACUGACGCUGAGGUGCGAAAGCGUGGGGAGCAAACAGGAUUAGAUACCCGGGUAGUCCCUGAGCGGGCUGGCAAGGCGCAU